RNAcentral lists this long non-coding RNA (228 nucleotides) under Ictidomys tridecemlineatus (thirteen-lined ground squirrel). RNAcentral describes it as "lncRNA (ENSSTOG00000031208.1)". The record is from RNAcentral. Lineage: Eukaryota; Metazoa; Chordata; Mammalia; Rodentia; Sciuridae.
UAACAAGGUGGUGAUUACAUCAGACAAAUGAAGCUGACGGACUGCACUACUCUUACAAGUUCUAAGCCUUCCCCUGUGAGUAGCCUGUGUUUGCUGUUCUUAUCCAUCAAAGCGCACUGUGAAAGACAGCCCAGGAAAAGCAUGGCGGCGAUGGAGAGCAGGGGCUUUGGGGAUCGGACUCAGUAGCUCAAGACUUGGCUCUGCCACUUAAUAAAUGUCUCAUCCCAG